GUAGUCCACGCCGUAAACGAUGAGUGCUAAGUGUUAGGGGGUUUCCGCCCCUUAGUGCUGCAGCUAACGCAUUAAGCACUCCGCCUGGGGAGUACGGUCGCAAGACUGAAACUCAAAGGAAUUGACGGGGGCCCGCACAGGCGGUGGAGCAUGUGGUUUAAUUCGAAGCAACGCGAAGAACCUUACCAGGUCUUGACAUCCUCUGACAACCCUAGAGAUAGGGCUUUCCCUUCGGGGACAGAGUGACAGGUGGUGCACGGUUGUCGUCAGCUCGUGUCGUGAGAUGUUGGGUUAAGUCCCGCAACGAGCGCAACCCUUGAUCUUAGUUGCCAGCAUUCAGUUGGGCACUCUAAGGUGACUGCCGGUGACAAACCGGAGGAAGGUGGGGAUGACGUCAAAUCAUCAUGCCCCUUAUGACCUGGGCUACACACGUGCUACAAUGGACAGAACAAAGGGCUGCGAGACCGCAAGGUUUAGCCAAUCCCACAAAUCUGUUCUCAGUUCGGAUCGCAGUCUGCAACUCGACUGCGUGAAGCUGGAAUCGCUAGUAAUCGCGGAUCAGCAUGCCGCGGUGAAUACGUUCCCGGGCCUUGUACACACCGCCCGUCACACCACGAGAGUUUGCAACACCCG
RNAcentral lists this ribosomal RNA (633 nucleotides) under Bacillus pumilus. RNAcentral's name for it is "bacterial SSU rRNA". It matches the Rfam family "Bacterial small subunit ribosomal RNA", at positions 790 to 1423 of the family's 1533-position model. The record is from RNAcentral. Lineage: Bacteria; Bacillati; Bacillota; Bacilli; Caryophanales; Bacillaceae.